GAUGAACGCUGGCGGCGUGCCUAAUACAUGCAAGUCGAGCGAACAGACGAGGUGCUUGCUCCUCUCACGUUAGCGACGCACGGGUGCGUACCACGUGGAUAACCUCCCUAUAAGACUGGGAUAACUUCUAGACACCGCACCUAAUACCAGAUGAUAUAUUGCACCGCAUGGUUCACUCGUGACAGACGGGUUUGUUGUCACUUCUAGAUCGAUCCGCGACGCAUCAGCUAGUUGGUAAGGUAACGGCUUACAAAGGCACCGAUGCGUAGCCGACCAGAGAGAGUGAUAGGCGACGCUGGAAGUGAGACACGGGCCAGACUCCUACGGGAAGCAGCAGUAGGGAACCUUGGGAAAUGGGAGAAAGCAUGACGGAGCAAUGCCGCGUGGGUUAUGAAGGCAUUGGGAUCGGAAGACUCUGUGACUAGGGAUGAAGAAAUGUGUAAGCAAGUGAGCAAGUAUUGACGGUACCUAGUGAAAAAGCAACGGCUAACUACGUG
RNAcentral lists this ribosomal RNA (497 nucleotides) under uncultured bacterium. RNAcentral describes it as "partial 16S ribosomal RNA". It matches the Rfam family "Bacterial small subunit ribosomal RNA", at positions 28 to 507 of the family's 1533-position model. The record is from RNAcentral.